RNAcentral lists this ribosomal RNA (253 nucleotides) under uncultured bacterium. RNAcentral describes it as "partial 16S ribosomal RNA". It matches the Rfam family "Bacterial small subunit ribosomal RNA", at positions 524 to 776 of the family's 1533-position model. The record is from RNAcentral.
UACAGAGGUCUCAAGCGUUGUUCGGAUUCAUUGGGCGUAAAGGGUGCGUAGGUGGCGCCAUAAGUCAGGUGUGAAAUCUCGGGGCUUAACUCCGAAACUGCAUUCGAUACUGCCGUGCUUGAGGACUGGAGAGGAGACUGGAAUUUACGGUGUAGCGGUGAAAUGCGUAGAUAUCGUAAGGAAGACCAGUGGCGAAGGCGGGUCUCUGGACAGUUCCUGACGCUGAGGCACGAAGGCCAGGGGAGCAAACGGG